AUGCUCUGGGCGGUCCUGCACGAGGCUUUCAACUGCAGCAACGUGGACAUCUACGGGAGGCUGGCGAUUGGGAAAUCUACCGCAUUAUUCUUGUGUGAAGAGUGGACUGCCACACCUGUUUGCGAAGCCCUUGGUGACAUUGCUGAUGUAUCUGUGGCAGAUGAGAAGCAGCAAAUGAAAGCACUUUUUGAAAAUGUUGGAUCUUCAAUGUGUUCGGACCACUGUGAUUGGUUUGGAAACAGUGGUCUUGAGGCGAUGUCUCGAAAUGCUGAUACAUUACCCGUCAUCCAUUUUCUACAACUGCGUCCAACGAACUAUGAAAUUAAGAAAUUACAGGUCAAUGAAUUUGUCAAGAUUGCUAGAGCUGCAAACAUCCGUGCUUACAUAAUUUUCCAACUGAAGAAUGACAUAACUGCAAUGACGGGGAAAGCCAAGGCUCAACGGCGACUCAUUGACAGCUUACAUGAUGAGUAG
Molecule: ribosomal RNA, 474 nt
Filed under: Triticum aestivum (bread wheat)
Lineage: Eukaryota; Viridiplantae; Streptophyta; Magnoliopsida; Poales; Poaceae
Description: partial small subunit ribosomal RNA
Source: RNAcentral